Molecule: ribosomal RNA, 387 nt
Filed under: uncultured bacterium
Lineage: Bacteria
Description: bacterial SSU rRNA
Rfam family: Bacterial small subunit ribosomal RNA
Source: RNAcentral
AAUGAACGCUGGCGGCGCGCCUAAUACAUGCAAGUCGAGCGAGAAGACGUAGCAAUACGUUUGUAAAGCGGCGAACGGGUGAGGAAUACAUGGGUAACCUACCCUAGAGUGGGAAUAACUAGCCGAAAGGUUAGCUAAUACCGCGUACGCUCCUUGGACUUCGGUUCAGGGAGGAAAGCGAUGCCGAGGGUAUCGCGCUCUUGGAUGGGCUCAUGUCCUAUCAGCUUGNGGUGAGGUAACGGCUCACCAAGGCUUCGACGGGUAGCUGGUCUGAGAGGACGAUCAGCCACACUGGCACUGCGACACGGGCCAGACUCCUACGGGAGGCAGCAGUAAGGAAUAUUGCGCAAUGGGCGAAAGCCUGACGCAGCGACGCCGCGUGGGGGA